CGAGCGGCGAACGGGUGAGUAACACGUGGGUGACCUGCCCUCAGCUCUGGGAUAAGCCCGGGAAACUGGGUCUAAUACCGGAUAUGACCUGCUGUUGCAUGACAGUGGGUGGAAAGUUUUUCGGCUGAGGAUGGGCCCGCGGCCUAUCAGCUUGUUGGUGGGGUGAUGGCCUACCAAGGCGACGACGGGUAGCCGGCCUGAGAGGGCGACCGGCCACACUGGGACUGAGAUACGGCCCAGACUCCUACGGGAGGCAGCAGUGGGGAAUAUUGCGCAAUGGGCGAAAGCCUGACGCAGCGACGCCGCGUGGGGGAUGACGGCCUUCGGGUUGUAAACCUCUUUCGACCGGGACGAAGGGAAACUGACGGUACCGGUAGAAGAAGCACCGGCCAACUACGUGCCAGCAGCCGCGGUAAUACGUAGGGUGCGAGCGUUGUCCGGAAUUAUUGGGCGUAAAGAGCUCGUAGGCGGUGUGUCACGUCGGUCGUGAAAACUUGGGGCUCAACCCUGAGCGUGCGGUCGAUACGGGCAUCACUUGAGUUCGGCAGGGGAGACUGGAAUUCCUGGUGUAGCGGUGAAAUGCGCAGAUAUCAGGAGGAACACCGGUGGCGAAGGCGGGUCUCUGGGCCGAUACUGACGCUGAGGAGCGAAAGCGUGGGGAGCGAACAGGAUUAGAUACCCUGGUAGUCCACGCCGUAAACGGUGGGCACUAGGUGUGGGGGCCAUUCCACGGUCUCUGUGCCGCAGCUAA
RNAcentral lists this ribosomal RNA (751 nucleotides) under Pseudonocardia sp. RNAcentral describes it as "bacterial SSU rRNA". It matches the Rfam family "Bacterial small subunit ribosomal RNA", at positions 92 to 855 of the family's 1533-position model. Lineage: Bacteria; Bacillati; Actinomycetota; Actinomycetes; Pseudonocardiales; Pseudonocardiaceae. The record is from RNAcentral.